UACGUAGGGCGCAAGCGUUGUCCGGAAUUAUUGGGCGUAAAGAGCUUGUAGGUGGCUUGUCGCGUCUGCCGUGAAAACCCGAGGCUCAACCUCGGGCCUGCAGUGGGUACGGGCAGGCUAGAGUGCGGUAGGGGAGAUUGGAAUUCCUGGUGUAGCGGUGGAAUGCGCAGAUAUCAGGAGGAACACCGAUGGCGAAGGCAGAUCUCUGGGCCGCUACUGACGCUGAGGAGCGAAAGCAUGGGGAGCGAACAGG
This 253-nucleotide ribosomal RNA is filed under the name uncultured bacterium. RNAcentral's name for it is "partial 16S ribosomal RNA". It matches the Rfam family "Bacterial small subunit ribosomal RNA", at positions 524 to 776 of the family's 1533-position model. The record is from RNAcentral.